CCGAAAGUUUUUUUAUUUUGAGGGCUGCGCAUGGAAAUGAAAGACCAUUUGCACCAUGCUGCCUGUUAUAAACGUAUACUACACUGACUUAAUUGCAGCACCGUGACAGUCGCGGUACCGUUUCAUUAAGGACAUAAUAAAACGCAGUGGCGAUUCUAGCCCUGUUUUAGGAUUGCCAAAACAGGGCAAUAGGAUUGCCACCCAUCCCGUAAAAUACGGAGUCGUCCCAUAUUUGGCAGUUAAAUGUGCGUCCCGUAUUGAACCGAUAUAUAACUGUCCGAUAGACACGGACAUACACUAAUCAACACUAAGUUUAACAAUAAUGGCCAAAAUAAUACACAGGAAAUAUUAAGGUCAGCUACAUUGUCGUGGCUGCAACUAAAGGACCCCCAGAACUCUACGGACCGACGCUGAACGUCACGGUUGCCUAGAGACGGACACUACGCAGCCGCGAUAAAUGACGGAGUUUCAAAGAAACUGUCGACUUCUUCAUAAGGACCUGGGGUGAAAACCGACCCAUAGUUUGCAGCCAUUUUCAGAUCCUUUCUUCUUCUUCUACUUCAUGACCGCCUCUUCUUCUGCUCCUGUGGCUCUGCGGUCGUUGCCACGGCGAUGCUGGGCUCUCUGCCCCAUCAUGCUGUGGGUCUGUUUCAUUAUGAAGGAUUAUUUUAAAAAUCUUCACCUCGACAUCUAGAAGGUUCUACAAAUUUAAAAGAUUCAAUGAUAAAUCAAUUAA
Molecule: long non-coding RNA, 736 nt
Organism: Xiphophorus couchianus (Monterrey platyfish)
Lineage: Eukaryota; Metazoa; Chordata; Actinopteri; Cyprinodontiformes; Poeciliidae
Exons: 3
Source: RefSeq, a predicted model, not a curated record